Mustela erminea (ermine) is the source of this 155-nucleotide long non-coding RNA. RefSeq lists it as uncharacterized. The transcript is spliced from 2 exons. The record is from RefSeq and is a predicted model, not a curated record. Lineage: Eukaryota; Metazoa; Chordata; Mammalia; Carnivora; Mustelidae.
GCUUUAACCCACUGAACCACCCAGGCGCCCUGGUCUUCUGACAGCACGCCUGAUUUGAGAUCUGUGUCGACCUUAGAAAACUUCCACCCCCCAACUGAUUCCUGUUUACAGAAUUGAAGUCCAAAGAAAAGAUAAUAAAAAGACUGUAAAAAUUU